Long non-coding RNA from Maniola jurtina (meadow brown), 104 nucleotides. RefSeq lists it as uncharacterized. The transcript has 3 exons. NCBI's taxonomy places the organism in Eukaryota, Metazoa, Arthropoda, Insecta, Lepidoptera, Nymphalidae. The record is from RefSeq and is a predicted model, not a curated record.
AGUAAAUUGGCAGGUCUUAAUUUAGUGCAAUAUCUUUUUGCACAGGGAGCAUUAUAAAAGAGAUAGCAAUACAUUUUAGACCUCUAUUUUUAAAUAAGCGAGUU